GAUGAACGCUGGCGGCGUGCCUAAUACAUGCAAGUCGAGCGAACAGACGAGGAGCUUGCUCCUCUGACGUUAGCGGCGGACGGGUGAGUAACACGUGGAUAACCUACCUAUAAGACUGGGAUAACUUCGGGAAACCGGAGCUAAGACCGGAUAAUAUAUUGAACCGCAUGGUUCAAUAGUGAAAGACGGUUUUGCUGUCACUUAUAGAUGGAUCCGCGCCGCAUUAGCUAGUUGGUAAGGUAACGGCUUACCAAGGCAACGAUGCGUAGCCGACCUGAGAGGGUGAUCGGCCACACUGGGACUGAGACACGGUCCAGACUCCUACGGGAGGCAGCAGUAGGGAAUCUUCCGCAAAGGGCGAAAGCCUGACGGAGCAACGCCGCGUGAGUGAUGAAGGUCUUCGGAUCGUAAAACUCUGUUAUUAGGGAAGAACAAGUGUGUAAGUAACUGUGCACGUCUUGACGGUACCUAAUCAGAAAGCCACGGCUAACUACGUG
Molecule: ribosomal RNA, 497 nt
Filed under: uncultured bacterium
Lineage: Bacteria
Description: partial 16S ribosomal RNA
Rfam family: Bacterial small subunit ribosomal RNA
Source: RNAcentral